UACGAAGGGGGCUAGCGUUGCUCGGAAUCACUGGGCGUAAAGGGCGCGUAGGCGGCCAUUCAAGUCGGGGGUGAAAUCCUGUGGCUCAACCACAGAAUUGCCUUCGAUACUGUUUGGCUUGAGUAUGGUAGAGGUUGGUGGAACUGCGAGUGUAGAGGUGAAAUUCGUAGAUAUUCGCAAGAACACCGGUGGCGAAGGCGGCCAACUGGACCAGUACUGACGCUGAGGCGCGAAAGCGUGGGGAGCAAACAGG
This 253-nucleotide ribosomal RNA is filed under the name uncultured bacterium. RNAcentral's name for it is "partial 16S ribosomal RNA". It matches the Rfam family "Bacterial small subunit ribosomal RNA", at positions 524 to 776 of the family's 1533-position model. The record is from RNAcentral.